Molecule: transfer RNA, 74 nt
Filed under: Bacillus cereus
Lineage: Bacteria; Bacillati; Bacillota; Bacilli; Caryophanales; Bacillaceae
Description: tRNA-Met
Rfam family: tRNA
About the family: Transfer RNA (tRNA) molecules are approximately 80 nucleotides in length. Their secondary structure includes four short double-helical elements and three loops (D, anti-codon, and T loops).
Source: RNAcentral
AGACCUUUAGCUCGGGUGGUCAGAGCAGACGGCUCAUAACCGUCCGAUCAUAGGUUCGAGUCCUAUAAGGUCCA